RNAcentral lists this ribosomal RNA (466 nucleotides) under uncultured bacterium. RNAcentral's name for it is "partial 16S ribosomal RNA". It matches the Rfam family "Bacterial small subunit ribosomal RNA", at positions 28 to 507 of the family's 1533-position model. The record is from RNAcentral.
GAUGAACGCUGGCGGCGUGCUUAACACAUGCAAGUCGAACGAUGAAGCUCAGCUUGCUGGGUGGAUUAGUGGCGAACGGGUGAGUAACACGUGAGUAACCUGCCCUUAACUCUGGGAUAAGCCUGGGAAACUAGGUCUAAUACCGGAUAGGAGCGCCUACCGCAUGGUGGGUGUUGGAAAGAUUUAUCGGUUUUGGAUGGACUCGCGGCCUAUCAGCUUGUUGGUGAGGUAAUGGCUCACCAAGGCGACGACGGGUAGCCGGCCUGAGAGGGUGACCGGCCACACUGGGACUGAGACACGGCCCAGACUCCUACGGGAGGCAGCAGUGGGGAAUAUUGCACAAUGGGCGAAAGCCUGAUGCAGCGACGCCGCGUGAGGGACGACGGCCUUCGGGUUGUAAACCUCUUUCAGUAGGGAAGAAGCGAAAGUGACGGUACCUGCAGAAGAAGCACCGGCUAACUACGUG